UUGCAGUUUUAUGUAAAUAUUAAAAUGGCUUCAAUGUUUGCUUAUUUUGCAGCUUCACUUGGAGCAGUGCCAACAGUCAUUGCAACAGUCCCUGCAGCUACACUGGUAAUGGACCUUUUCAGAGUGGUUUCCCCAAUCAGGGGGGGCAGAACGUCAAUGGCAGUCAGAGCAGCUGGAGUAAUGAGCAGCCUCAGGAAUCUCCUUCCACUUGGAACUCAGCAGCAUGUGUGGGCAGCAAGCCGUAUUUCUCGGGGACCCGCAGCCUCUCUCCCAUGUCUGGUCUGUUUGGCUCCAUCUGGACCCCGCAGACUCACUUCCCAGCUGAGCGAUCAGUCCCAGUGUCCCCCAUGUCUCCCAUCACCCCUGUCACCCCUCCACACUCCCCAUUCACCCGAGAGCCGGAGGGAACCUACCGACCCAUCCAGUACUCCAGCUUCAACCCGUUCGGGCCACACAUGAACCUGGACAUAUGGAACUCUUCAUCUAAUCGCAGCUCCAACUCCCAGCUCUCCAACGACUCCGGCUACUGUGGAGAUGUCUGAAUCCGAAAACCAGAACAGCAGACCUUAAUACUUGCAAAUGCCUAAUAUAAAAGAAAGGAAAUAAAAAUGAAUGUUCUUUUAUCAACAGAGGGGAAAAUGUGAAUAUUACUUUUAUUUUAUUUUCCAAUUUUCAGAUGUUAAAUGUUGUGAGAGGUGAAGCAUUUGUUGUAUAUUUUUCUAGAUGUUUUGCAGUUUUGAUCAUAGAAAAUAAAAGCAAGGUUUUGUACU
This is a long non-coding RNA of Poecilia latipinna (sailfin molly), 770 nucleotides long. RefSeq lists it as uncharacterized. The transcript is spliced from 3 exons. Lineage: Eukaryota; Metazoa; Chordata; Actinopteri; Cyprinodontiformes; Poeciliidae. The record is from RefSeq and is a predicted model, not a curated record.